This 253-nucleotide ribosomal RNA is filed under the name uncultured bacterium. Its description in RNAcentral is "partial 16S ribosomal RNA". It matches the Rfam family "Bacterial small subunit ribosomal RNA", at positions 524 to 776 of the family's 1533-position model. The record is from RNAcentral.
UACGUAGGGGGCAAGCGUUGUCCGGAAUCAUUGGGCGUAAAGAGCGUGUAGGCGGCCCGAUAAGUCCGCCGUGAAAGUCCAGGGCUCAACCCUGGAAUGCCGGUGGAAACUGUCGGGCUGGAGUCCGGAAGAGGCGAGUGGAAUUCCUGGUGUAGCGGUGAAAUGCGCAGAUAUCAGGAGGAACACCUAUGGCGAAGGCAGCUCUCUGGGACGGUACUGACGCUGAGACGCGAAAGCGUGGGGAGCGAACAGG